RNAcentral lists this ribosomal RNA (497 nucleotides) under uncultured bacterium. RNAcentral's name for it is "partial 16S ribosomal RNA". It matches the Rfam family "Bacterial small subunit ribosomal RNA", at positions 28 to 507 of the family's 1533-position model. The record is from RNAcentral.
GAUGAACGCUGGCGGCGUGCCUAAUACAUGCAAGUCGAGCGAACAGACGCGGAGCUUGCUCCUCUGACGUUAGCCGCGGACGUGUGAGUAACACGUGGAUAACCUACCUAUAAGACUGGGAUAACUUCGGGAAACCGGAGCUAAUACCGGAUAAUAUAUUGAACCGCAUGGUUCAAUAGUGAAAGACGGUUUUGCUGUCACUUAUCGAUGGAUCCGCGCCGCAUUAGCUAGUUGUUAAGGUAACGGCUUACCAAGGCGACGAUGCGUAGCCGGCCUGAGAGGGUGAUCGGCCACCCUGGAACUGAGACACGGUCCAGACUCCUAAGGGAGGCAGCAGUAGGGAAUCUUACGCAAUGGGCGAAAGCCUGACGGAGCGACGCCGCGUGAGUGAUGAAGGUCUUCGGAUCGUAAAACUCUGUUAUUAGGGAAGAACAAAUGUGUAAGUAACUAUGCACGUCUUGACGGUAACUAAUCAGAAAGCCACGGCUAACUACGUG